GAUGAACGCUAGCUACAGGCUUUACACAUGCAAGUCGAGGGGCAGCAUGGUCUUAGCUUGCUAAGACUGAUGGCGACCGGCGCACGGGUGAGUAACACGUAUCCAACCUGCCGUCUACUCUUGGACAGCCUUCUGAAAGGAAGAUUAAUACAAGAUGGCAUCAUGAGUCCGCAUGUUCACAUGAUUAAAGGUAUUCCGGUAGACGAUGGGGAUGCGUUCCAUUAGAUAGUAGGCGGGGUAACGGCCCACCUAGUCUUCGAUGGAUAGGGGUUCUGAGAGGAAGGUCCCCCACAUUGGAACUGAGACACGGUCCAAACUCCUACGGGAGGCAGCAGUGAGGAAUAUUGGUCAAUGGGCGAGAGCCUGAACCAGCCAAGUAGCGUGAAGGAUGACUGCCCUAUGGGUUGUAAACUUCUUUUAUAAAGGAAUAAAGUCGGGUAUGUAUACCCGUUUGCAUGUACUUUAUGAAUAAGGAUCGGCUAACUCCGUGCCAGCAGCCGCGGUAAUACGGAGGAUCCGAGCGUUAUCCGGAUUUAUUGGGUUUAAAGGGAGCGUAGAUGGAUGUUUAAGUCAGUUGUGAAAGUUUGCGGCUUAACCGUAAAAUUGCAGUUGAUACUGGAUAUCUUGAGUGCAGUUGAGGCAGGCGGAAUUCGUGGUGUAGCGGUGAAAUGCUUAGAUAUCACGAAGAACUCCGAUUGCGAAGGCAGCCUGCUAAGCUGCAACUGACAUUGAGGCUCGAAAGU
RNAcentral lists this ribosomal RNA (743 nucleotides) under uncultured Bacteroidales bacterium. RNAcentral describes it as "bacterial SSU rRNA". It matches the Rfam family "Bacterial small subunit ribosomal RNA", at positions 28 to 760 of the family's 1533-position model. Lineage: Bacteria; Pseudomonadati; Bacteroidota; Bacteroidia; Bacteroidales. The record is from RNAcentral.